AAGUGGAAGCCAACUAGGCAUUUAUCUGUUACAUAAACCCCUGCUUUCUUUCUAGCCCACUUA
RNAcentral lists this transfer RNA (63 nucleotides) under Perinereis aibuhitensis. RNAcentral's name for it is "tRNA-Asn". Lineage: Eukaryota; Metazoa; Annelida; Polychaeta; Phyllodocida; Nereididae. The record is from RNAcentral.